Molecule: ribosomal RNA, 316 nt
Filed under: uncultured bacterium
Lineage: Bacteria
Description: bacterial SSU rRNA
Rfam family: Bacterial small subunit ribosomal RNA
Source: RNAcentral
AUUGAACGCUAGCGGGAUGCCUUACACAUGCAAGUCGAACGGACUUAACUCAUUCUUUUAGAUUGAGAGCGGUUAGUGGCGGACUGGUGAGUAACACGUAAGCAACCUGCCUAUUAGAGGGGAAUAACAGUGAGAAAUCAUUGCUAAUACCGCAUAUGCUAACAGUAUCGCAUGAUACAGUUAGGAAAGGAGCAAUCCGCUAAUAGAUGGGCUUGCGUCUGAUUAGCUAGUUGGUGGGGUAACGGCCUACCAAGGCGACGAUCAGUAGCCGGACUGAGAGGUUGAACGGCCACAUUGGGACUGAGAUACGGCCCAG